This 63-nucleotide transfer RNA is filed under the name Macrocheles muscaedomesticae. RNAcentral's name for it is "tRNA-Tyr". Lineage: Eukaryota; Metazoa; Arthropoda; Arachnida; Mesostigmata; Macrochelidae. The record is from RNAcentral.
GAUAAAAUGGCUGAGGACAGGCAAUAAAUUGUAAAUUUAUUAAUGGAGUUUAUCCUUUUAUCA